This 72-nucleotide transfer RNA is filed under the name Myotis davidii. It matches the Rfam family "tRNA". Rfam says of the family: Transfer RNA (tRNA) molecules are approximately 80 nucleotides in length. Their secondary structure includes four short double-helical elements and three loops (D, anti-codon, and T loops). Lineage: Eukaryota; Metazoa; Chordata; Mammalia; Chiroptera; Vespertilionidae. The record is from Rfam by way of RNAcentral.
GCCACUGUAGCUCAGUGGAUAGAGCGUCAGCCUGAGACUGAAGGGUCACGGGUUCGAUUCUGGUCAAGGGCA